Non-coding RNA from Phoenix dactylifera (date palm), 1399 nucleotides. The record is from RefSeq and is a predicted model, not a curated record. NCBI's taxonomy places the organism in Eukaryota, Viridiplantae, Streptophyta, Magnoliopsida, Arecales, Arecaceae.
AGAGAGAUCACUUUGUAAUCUCUUGGCAUACCUCUUGUGGUGAUUGGCGAUUUCAAUUGCAUUUUGAAUGCAGAAGAUAAAAAGUGGGGUAGACCUUUUUGAUUGGAUAGGGACAUUAGAGAGUUCAGGGCAUUCUUCAACAUACUGGUCUUUUUGAUCUAUGUUUCCAAGGUCCCCAAUAUACUUGGUGCAAUAACCAGCAAGGCUUGGCCAGGGUUUGGGAGAGGUUGGAUCAGGCAUUCGCAUUGGAUGCAUGGUUGGAUAUGUUUCCGAAUUCCAUGGUUAACCUAUCAAUCUUGCUAAAUCAUAUAUUGUGUUCAGCCCAUCUACACCAAGCACCUAGAAGGGCCAGAUAAAGACCAUUCAAAAACAGGAGAGAGCAGGCACUUGUAAAUACUUGGGAAUACUUCUCUCAGGUAUGAAACCAGCAGUUUCUGAUGUUAAUUUUCUAAUGGAUAAGGUGCAGGCAUGGAUUGCGAGUUGGAAAUGGAAGGCUCUAUCAUUAGCAGCUGGUAGAGCAACCUUGCUCCAAUCCAUGUUGGCAUCUAUUCCAUUGUAUUGUAUGUCAUGUAUUCCAGUGCCUUUGUCAAUUUUGAAAAAAAAAUUGGAUCGGGAUUUUCGAGUGUUUUUGGGUGGACAUGCAAAUGAUCAACAAGGGCUCCAUCUAAUUUCUUGGUCUCAUGUGUGCUUGCCUAAAGAUGCUGGAGGCUGAGGCUUGCAGCCCUUACAUAUUAGGAGGCAAUCCUUGCUGUGUAAACUUGCUGCUCGUUUGAUUGUUCACUCGAAGUCCUUAUGGGCCCAAGUAAGCACAGCCGAAAGGUUGUUCUACUAUAUGGCCGUCCAUUGCUAAAGUCGGCCCUAUGGUUCAAUAUCAGUUUGUCUGGUAUAUUAGAAAUGGUUCUUCUAUUAAUAUUUUGCAUGCCUCUUGGAUCCAACCUAGACCUUUAAGUGCUUGACCUUGGCCAACUUAUUUAAAUAUGGAUGUGGAUAAGCUUAUAUCUGAUGAUGGCUGUUGCUGCUCACAAGAAUUAAGGGGCCUAUUUUCUGCCGAGAAGAGGACCCAUAUUGAAAGCAUUCCUAUUUCUUAUGUGCGGUGGUCUGAUCAGCUGUGUUUGGGAAGGAAUAGGGUUGUUCAUGUAUCGGUUAAAGAUAUGUAUUGUGUAUUGCCUCAGUCCCAUGCUAUAGACUCAGCAAAUAAAUGUGGAUGGAUUUAGCUUGUGGAGGUACCCAUGAGGGUGAAAAUCUUGUGAUGGCACCUUUAUUGGCGCAAAUUGCCUUAUAAUCAAGUGUUGCACUUGCCUCGUGAUGUUCAGGGUUGUGAUCUAUGUCCUCAGUGUUUAAAUAUUUGGAGAAGAGGAAGACAAAAGAAGAAAAAAAAGAAAGAGCGAAAAGUGAUUUA